GUCUGUGAUGCCCUUAGAUGUUCUGGGCCGCACGCGCGCUACACUGACAGAGCCAGCGAGUUCCUCCCUUGGCCGGAAGGUCCGGGUAAUCUUGUGAAACUCUGUCGUGCUGGGGAUAGAGCAUUGCAAUUAUUGCUCUUCAACGAGGAAUGCCUAGUAAGCGCAAGUCAUCAGCUUGCGUUGAUUACGUCCCUGCCCUUUGUACACACCGCCCGUCGCUACUACCGAUUGAAUGGCUUAGUGAGGUCUUCGGAUCGGCUUCGGGGACCCGGCAACGGGACCCUGUUGCUGAGAAGUUGAUCAAACUUGGUCAUUUAGAGGAAGUAAAAGUCGUAACAAGGUCUCCGUAGGUGAACCUGCGGAGGGAUCAUUAGUGAAAUCAAACUGCGGGAGGAUGUGCUGGCUUUGUUGCAUGUGCACUCCAAACGCUAAUCCACUUACCCCUGUGCACCUUUGACCUGAGCUCGUCUCCUGCUAGCACCAUCUGGCAUUCAAGGAGGCGGUCUCUGGUACUUUACACACUCGUUGUCUCAGAAUGUCUCUUGUGCUUAACGCAUAAAUACAACUUUCAACAACGGAUCUCUUGGCUCUCGCAUCGAUGAAGAACGCAGCGAAUUGCGAUACGUAAUGUGAAUUGCAGAAUUCAGUGAAUCAUCGAAUCUUUGAACGCACCUUGCACCCUUUGGUAUUCCGAAGGGUAUGCCCGUUUGAGCGUCAUUGUAAUCUCACACCCAGGGUUUCUUUGAAGCCAAGGGAGGUGGACUUGAGAGUUGCAGCGCAUCCGCUGCUCUCUUGAAAUGCAUGAGCAGACCCCAUUGUGCAGUCAGCCGGUGUGAUAAUUGUCUUCACCGCUUGUGAUCCGUUCACAAAGCUGCAUGGUUGGUGUUGCCUGCUGCCAAUCGUCUUUGGACAACUUUGACAACUUGACCUCAAAUCGGGUAGGACUACCCGCUGAACUUAA
Molecule: ribosomal RNA, 961 nt
Filed under: uncultured fungus
Lineage: Eukaryota; Fungi
Description: bacterial SSU rRNA
Rfam family: Eukaryotic small subunit ribosomal RNA (bases 1-373)
Source: RNAcentral